CACUGGAUUGACUAAAUCUAUGUUCUCAGCCUCGAAGACCCUCACCGCUGGAGCUGGUAUGACUCCCUCUCUGCUAGAGCCACCCCCUUGAUUGAUCCACCUAGACUGAAAGAAUGCUCCAAUAUCCAUUUGAUAGUGUUGGGAUCCUCAGUCAUCUGCCCACUACUGUCCCUGAUCAUACAAAUCCUGUCCCUCUGCCUUCGGAUGAUGGUCGACUGAUAGAAAAACCUCAUGUUUUGGUCCCUUUCUCUGAUCCACUGAAUGCGAGACUUCUGUCUCUAGAAGACCUGCUGCUGUUUCAGGAGUGAGUGAUGUCUGGAUAGAGUGGCUCUAAGCUCCACCUGCUCUUCAUUGGACAGGCUGCCCUGUCGCUCCUCUAGAGACUGUAGCU
Molecule: long non-coding RNA, 391 nt
Filed under: Phoenix dactylifera (date palm)
Lineage: Eukaryota; Viridiplantae; Streptophyta; Magnoliopsida; Arecales; Arecaceae
Description: long non-coding RNA (PDAC_LNC012347)
Source: RNAcentral